This 741-nucleotide ribosomal RNA is filed under the name Triticum aestivum (bread wheat). Its description in RNAcentral is "partial small subunit ribosomal RNA". The record is from RNAcentral. Lineage: Eukaryota; Viridiplantae; Streptophyta; Magnoliopsida; Poales; Poaceae.
AUGGGCUCCUCCUAUGGCUGGCUCAUCACCGGCGACGAGCGGUCGAAUCUCAUACUAGUCAACCCUGUAACCAGAGCUCAGAUAGCUAUGCCUCCCCCUGAAACCAUGAACAAUGUUAGACUGCGCUACACUGAAGACGGUGUGCUAGACGGAUAUGAUGUUCUUUACAUGGAUCUGUUCUCUCGGGAUUUUGACACUGAAAUGGAGCCGUACCAUCUUACACUUGAAGAAGCCCGCUUCUACCUCUAUGCGAGGGUCGUUCUUUCUUGUGAUCCCUCGCAUGGAAACUGCACAGUUCUCGUAGUACAAUUGCCAAAGGAUCAACUCUCUUAUACUAGGGUUGGGGACACCAAAUGGACCUGGAUUGAUGCAAAUCCAAAUUGUAGGGCUUAUCAAGAUAUACUUUAUAACACUAAUGAUGGUUUGUUUUAUGGUGUUCGUGGUAGGGAUCAGGUUGAUACUAUUAAUCUUAAUGGACCUUCCGCUGAAGUGAAAGUUAUUUUGAAGCCGAUCAUAUCCUAUCAAGCGCAUAGUAGAUAUAUUGUUCAAGCACCAUGGGGAGAUUUUUUCCAGAUAUGGAGACAUGAUAAAUAUAAUAAGGAGAAUGGGAGAAAGGACCGGGUUGCAGACAAGUUUUUCGUGUACAAGAUUGAUUUUGUUGAACAAAGGUCGUCCAAACAAAUAACAUCCAAGAUCACGCAAUGUUCAUUGGUUACAACAGUUCAUUCAUGCUUCCAGUGA